UACGUAGGGUGCGAGCGUUUGUCCGGAAUUAUUGGGCGUAAAGAGCUUGUAGGCGGUCUGUCGCGUCUGCUGUGAAAAUCCGGGGCUCAACCCCGGACUUGCAGUGGGUACGGGCAGACUAGAGUGUGGUAGGGGAGACUGGAAUUCCUGGUGUAGCGGUGAAAUGCGCAGAUAUCAGGAGGAACACCGAUGGCGAAGGCAGGUCUCUGGGCCACUACUGACGCUGAGAAGCGAAAGCAUGGGGA
Molecule: ribosomal RNA, 245 nt
Filed under: uncultured bacterium
Lineage: Bacteria
Description: partial 16S ribosomal RNA
Rfam family: Bacterial small subunit ribosomal RNA
Source: RNAcentral